AUCGCUUCUUGGCCUCUUGGCUAAGAUCAAGUGUAGUAUCUGUUCUUAUCAGUUACAUAUCUUAUGCGUCCCCUAUCUGGGGACCAUAUAUUUAAUGGAUUUUUGGAACAGGGAGAUGGAAGAAGAGCUUGCUCUGUCCACUCCAAAACACUUUCUUGGGAACGAUAUUAGAUUUACUAUCU
Bombina bombina (fire-bellied toad) is the source of this 182-nucleotide small nuclear RNA. RefSeq annotates it as U2 spliceosomal RNA. The transcript has a single exon. The record is from RefSeq and is a predicted model, not a curated record. NCBI's taxonomy places the organism in Eukaryota, Metazoa, Chordata, Amphibia, Anura, Bombinatoridae.